RNAcentral lists this ribosomal RNA (253 nucleotides) under uncultured bacterium. RNAcentral describes it as "partial 16S ribosomal RNA". It matches the Rfam family "Bacterial small subunit ribosomal RNA", at positions 524 to 776 of the family's 1533-position model. The record is from RNAcentral.
UACGAAGGGGGCUAGCGUUGCUCGGAAUCACUGGGCGUAAAGGGUGCGUAGGCGGGUCUUUAAGUCAGGGGUGAAAUCCUGGAGCUCAACUCCAGAACUGCCUUUGAUACUGAGGAUCUUGAGUCCGGGAGAGGUGAGUGGAACUCCGAGUGUAGAGGUGAAAUUCGUAGAUAUUCGGAAGGACACCAGUGGCGAAGGCGGCUCACUGGCCCGGUACUGACGCUGAGGUGCGAAAGCGUGGGGAGCAAACAGG